This 1320-nucleotide ribosomal RNA is filed under the name Triticum aestivum (bread wheat). RNAcentral's name for it is "partial small subunit ribosomal RNA". Lineage: Eukaryota; Viridiplantae; Streptophyta; Magnoliopsida; Poales; Poaceae. The record is from RNAcentral.
AUGAUGAAAUUGCUGGAGUUCAAUUUCAAAAUUCAGUACAAAAAGGGUGUACAAAACAAGGUUGCAGAUGCCCUCUCCAGGUUGCUACCUUCCUGCAUGGCCAUAUCCGUGGCUACUCCAGUAUGGGCACAAGAACUGGUAGACAGUUAUCAGGAAGAUCCUGUAACUAAAACUCUCUUGGAACAACUGCUGUUGCAACAAGGUCACACCAGGUCUGAUUAUAGUUUAACUGCUGGUAUUAUCAGAUACAAGGGAAGGAUCAUGGUGGGUGAUGUGGCUGACUUGAGAACAAGACUUCUUACUGCUUUGCAUAGCUCUCCAGUAGGUGGACAUUCAGGAACAAGAGCUACUUAUCAGAGGGUCAAAAGUAUAUUCUACUGGCCAGGGUUAAAAGCAGCUGUGGAACAUUUUAUUGCUGCAUGCCCUGUUUGCCAGAGGGCAAAGCAUGAGACCUGCCUGCAACCUGGUUUAUUGGAACCUCUCCCUAUGGCUGACAUGGCUUGGCAACAUAUAUCCAUGGAUUUCAUAGAAGGGCUACCUAACUCUCAAGGCAAGGAGGUCAUCUUGGUAGUAGUAGACAGAUUCACCAGAUAUGCACACUUCAUUCCACUGUCCCACCCAUAUACAGUAUUGAGUGUGGCACAAGCAUUUGUAGAUAAUAUUAUCAGACUACAUGGACCACCCAAACUGAUCAUCUCAGACAGAGACAAAAUCUUCACUAGUAAAUUGUGGAAAGAUAUCUUUGCUGCCCUGAAUAGUGAGUUGAGGUACAGCACUGCCUAUCAUCCACAAACAGAUGGCCUAACAGAAAGAAUCAACCAGUGUGUGGAAACAUACCUGAGAUGCAUGACCACUGAUCAACCCAAGAAAUGGUCUUCCUGGCUAUCUCUAGCAGAAUUCUGGUAUAACACUACUUACCAUACUGCACUGAAGAUGUCCCCCUUUCAGGCAUUAUAUGGCUUUCCUCCACCACUAAUCUCUGAGUUAGCUAUUCCUGGCCCUGAGGAUGAAGAAGCACAGUCCUUCUUAGGGGAGAAACAACUAAUGUUGGAACAAUUAAAGUCCAAUCUACAACAAGCUCAAAACAGGAUGAAGAAAUAUGCAGAUAUGAAGAGAAGUGAAAGAGUUUUUGAAGUGGGGGAUAUGGUGUACUUGAAAAUGGCACCUUACAGGCUUGCUGCAUUUGGCUUUCGUGGAGCUUUGAAAUUACAAAACAAGUUCUAUGGUCCCUUUGUGAUCACUCAGAAAGUGGGCAAGGUGGCUUACAAGUUGCAAUUCCCUGAUCAUGUGAAAAUUCACCCUGUUUUUCAUGUAAGCUAG